This 561-nucleotide ribosomal RNA is filed under the name uncultured bacterium. RNAcentral's name for it is "bacterial SSU rRNA". It matches the Rfam family "Bacterial small subunit ribosomal RNA", at positions 338 to 916 of the family's 1533-position model. The record is from RNAcentral.
CCUACGGGAGGCAGCAGUGGGGAAUAUUGGACAAUGGGCGCAAGCCUGAUCCAGCAAUGCCGCGUGAGUGAUGAAGGCCUUAGGGUCGUAAAGCUCUUUUACCAGGGAUGAUAAUGACAGUACCUGGAGAAUAAGCUCCGGCUAACUCCGUGCCAGCAGCCGCGGUAAUACGGAGGGAGCUAGCGUUGUUCGGAAUUACUGGGCGUAAAGCGUACGUAGGCGGUUAUUCAAGUCAGAGGUGAAAGCCCGGGGCUCAACCCCGGAACGGCCUUUGAAACUAGGUAGCUAGAAUCUUGGAGAGGUCAGUGGAAUUCCGAGUGUAGAGGUGAAAUUCGUAGAUAUUCGGAAGAACACCAGUGGCGAAGGCGACUGACUGGACAAGUAUUGACGCUGAGGUACGAAAGCGUGGGGAGCAAACAGGAUUAGAUACCCUGGUAGUCCACGCCGUAAACGAUGAUAACUAGCUGUUCGGGCACUUGGUGCUUGAGUGGCGCAGCUAACGCAUUAAGUUAUCCGCCUGGGGAGUACGGCCGCAAGAUUAAAACUCAAAUGAAUUGACGG